GCUCAGUCAGUUAAGUGUCUGACUCUUGAUUUCAGCUCAGGUCAUAACCCCAGAGUUGUGGGAUCGAGCCCCACACUGGGCU
RNAcentral lists this transfer RNA (82 nucleotides) under Felis catus (domestic cat). It matches the Rfam family "tRNA". From Rfam's summary of the family: Transfer RNA (tRNA) molecules are approximately 80 nucleotides in length. RNAcentral also lists the same sequence under 5 other names. The record is from Rfam by way of RNAcentral. Lineage: Eukaryota; Metazoa; Chordata; Mammalia; Carnivora; Felidae.